Molecule: long non-coding RNA, 4486 nt
Organism: Lytechinus pictus (painted urchin)
Lineage: Eukaryota; Metazoa; Echinodermata; Echinoidea; Temnopleuroida; Toxopneustidae
Exons: 2
Source: RefSeq, a predicted model, not a curated record
GGCAGAGCAAUUUUGACACUGGUCAAGACAGGACCUAUGUGCUGAGUGAGUGAGUGGGGAGUAGAGAUGUACAGCACCUAAAUACUUAUUUAUUUUGGUUUGGCAUCGACGGAAAACCGGGCAAGACAGGCCAGGAAGAGGACUCCUCUCAGCUCCACAGUAUGGCUCUGACAACACGGUCAGGCAGCUGGGUUCCGAUUCCGAUAGAGAUUCCGAUGAUUCGAAUUCUGAUUCUGGGACAAGUCCUCCAGGAUGGACUCUGUUCAACCACCAUGAUGCGAGUCUCCGUCUACUAGACGCGUAUAGCAUCGGUGCACUUCUGUUAAUCACUACAACUACGACAAGCUUUCGUCGAGGAUGGAACGCGACAUGCGUUCAUUGAAGGCCUGAUGUAAGAACAGUCCAUAUGAGUUGAGAACAUUCGCGGAUACUUAUUGUUUGUUAAUUGAUUUAGCUGCAGAAUUGCAGAGUUACAGAAUUGCUGCAAGCAAUUUCUUUGAGAUUUUAUAGUAAUCUGAAUUAUGAGCUCAAGUGUUAGUUUGGCCACUUAAAUUAUUGCAGUACACCAAUUUUGUUCUAUUUACAUGUGCCCAACGUUCUCGCUACCACGCGUCACGGUUGGCGGGCGCCGCCAACCCUGAAAAUUUUCAGGGCAAAUCCGCCAACCGUGAACUUCCCCGACAAUCGUGGCCGACAACGGUAAAGCAGGCCUAUAGAUCUACACAAAAGCUGAAUAAUAUAUUUAAAAAAUAAUCUGCUUUUCAGAUCCUAAAAUAAACUUGUCGAUUAUUUCGUCCACGAUUUCUUCCCGGGAUUUCUUUGACUCACUCACUACUACUAGUGCGCUAUAUAGUUAUUACGAUAUGACCUCAACUCGAGGCCCAAUCUCUUUUGUGGGAAGAUGUUUACCUCGCAUUUGCGUAUCGCAUUGCUCACAUUAUUUAAAAUGGUAGUAAAUACGCUCAAAAACAAGUGAGGGGAGAGGGGUAUCGUGGGUUACUGGCUUGGGUAAUGUAAUUUAGAUUAUUACGAAUUUCAGUUGAUAUCGUCACUUAUUAUGUCAAAAAUAAAGUGUGUCAAAAUUACUAUCAAAAUUCGAUCGAAAUAUAGUUUCAUCUCGUCCCAGGCCCCAGCCUUUAUAGCUACAUCUACAUGAAUUCAUUGAAUGCAUUUCUGAUGACACUGCCGUAGAGCGAAUUGAGAAAACUAUUCAAAGAUCACGUUAAUAAUGACAAAGCCAAUGGAAUGGAUGGAUAUAAUGUCCAACUCAUUUACUUACAUCAAAAUCAUUUAUUCACAUUUAAAUUCCGAUUUUACUCUAUUAUUUCCAAAGUCUUGAUCUCUACAUCGAUCUUUUUAAACUGUUGAUUAAUUUCGCGAAGUGUCUACCUAGUUCUGUGCCACUGCACUUGCGCUCGCAACGUUCACAUUCAUAAUACAAAUCGCACAUGGCAUCAAAAUCCUUGAUCCGGGGAUCCGAUAGUCUUCCAAAAUUAGAUGGGAUCCAAAACCAAUUAAAUUUGAUUUUUUUUCAUAUAUUCAUUGAAUCUGUUAUAAUUUUCAUAAUUAAUAAUCUGUAUUAAUAUUAUUCACAUUUUUUAUCAUUACGACUCAUUUUUGAAUGUGAGUUAUACGUACAGUAUAUUUUCAUUUGUAUUCUUUAUUACUCUUUGCCUGCCAAUUAAAUAAUGAGCGCACCUGUCACGGGCCUGAGAAAUGUUUUUAGUCAUCAAAGUGAAUACUUUAUGAAUUUGUUGUACAAUUGCUUAACUACGAUUUAAAAUAAAAUAUCAUUUGAAAUUAAUUUGUGUAAAGGAAAAAAAGAGAAUAAUGGGGGGUGGCCGUGGGCAAUGUAGAUGAAAAUGAUGGGAUGUUUGUGACUUUGUGGGGAGGGGAUUGUUCGUAGUGAAUGAAAUUGAUAUUCAUUUAUGGAUGUGUCUACUGUGAUUGUGGCUGCAUAAUCUUUAUGGCGAUUGGAAAAUCCACCUUGGGUCGGGAGGGGUACGUGAUUCAAUAGAUUUCGAUAGAAGUACACAUUCAACAAAGUGGAAUUGGCAAUUCAUUCACAGAUAUUCGUUUCAAGUACGAAUUAUUGAAGUUGAUAUGUGUGAACGUUUUAGAGGAUAUCGGAUAUGUUUAUCGUUUUUUCACGCCCACAAUGGGUGAUUUCAAGUACGGUGUUGAAAUCUGGUGUUGGUGUUGUGACAACACCAACACCAGCCACAACACCGUACUUGAAAUCAGGCUGGUGUUGGGAUUGACCUCGGAAAAUAUGACGUAUUUCCGGCAGUUCGUGUUGAAUGCUGGUGUUGAAUGUCGUCUGCUGAACCCAGUACUGCGGCUGGUGUUGACGAUCUACGUGCAAUUUCCCCAUUCACCAACACCAACCCCCAGGGAUUGGGAAAAUCAUGAUUUCAAGUUCGGUGUUGGUGUUGGCAAUCUGAAGCUUGUGAACAGGCGGCGAACACGAUGAAACAUCCCCGUAAAAUUAGCUUUUACAGUUAAGAUUAAUACAAAUCAUUUGAGCUGUAUAUAUUUUGAUGAAGAAUAAUGUUCACUCUUUCGAAUUCUUGAAUUGAUUAAAACAUUGGUAUUCUGUACGAUGAGAAUUUAAUGCAUUUCUCUCGGAUUUCAUUUCGUCGUCGAGACUUCUCGCGUGAAGUUGAGAUGAUUUAGCAGCGCAGCGCAGAGGCGUGACGUCAUGUGCUAUCGAUAACGCAAUCGGUAUCAUUCCUCUGAACCCAGCUCGGUGUUGGAGCUCGGUUCAGCGGCCUUUUUACGCUCUCAACACCAACACCGAACUUGAAAUCACCCAAUGAGUUGCUAGUAUAAUUUGAAUAUCGUUGGAUUAAUUUUUCAAGUUCAAUUAUGUCUUUAUGUUUUUAUAUCGGAAUUGUGCUUUUAAUAUAUGAGUUAUAUCUUGACAACGCCGUCAUCAUCGGUAGAAGUAUAGACACGUCUAUAAAAAUGUAUUCGCUUCGAAUAUUGACUUCUUCACCAAUCCCACACACACGAUCUCAACAUCCCCUUGUCAUUGUCCACGCCACGACCCCUCCCCUAUCGCUCUCUCCCUUCGACCAUCCUACAACCCCACCUCUCUUCCUCUCUUUCACACACGCUGUAUUUGUAGGCCCACAUAAUGUAUUAUGUAAAAAUAGAAAUCUUAUUUCCUGUCAAUUAACCUAUACUUUCAAAACAUUUUAAAUCGCAGUUAAGAACAACAAAUUCGUAAUAUUAGAGUAUUAUGAACGACUAAAAAUAUUUCUCACGCUCGUGAUGAGCACAGCACAUUCAUUAUUUUAUAGGUGAGUAACGAACGAUACAAAUGAACACAGCAAUAAUUGACAGUGAUAAAAGAAUCUCGAUUAGAAAUUAUUAGUAUCAACAUCAACAAGUCUUAUGAGAGUUAUAGUUUCAGUGAGUAUCGAAUAAACCAAACAAAAAACCAUGCAAAUUAUAUAAGUUGGGGACCCCGUCUCAUGAAUACCGAUGCCCAUUAUUUGGAAGCCUCGGAAGAAAACUUUAGAGGCUUCCAAAUAAUACCUCGGUCACAUUUGCUCUACGGCGAGUCGAAAACAGCCGUUUUAUUCAUUUUUAUUCAAACCACCUAUAUUCAGCUGGUACAAAAAAUGUUAAAACGGCUGUUUUCGACUCGCCGUACGGCCGCUGUAGAACAAAUGUGACCGAGGUAUAAAGUCGGAACAAUCUUUGGAUUUAGUAAGGGCAUGACGCAGCGCAAGCUCAAAGGGCUACGCAUGCGGUCGGUAGAUGCAGUCGGUCAUUGACAUAAGAAACAACACGCAUUCACAAAAUUAAUCACACUUUCUAAGGAUGUAGCGAUAUCGAUCUGAACAUUGGAAAGUAUGGAGUUAAUUUAUCGAUGUAAAUAAUCUAUAAACUGUAAGUAUAAAAUGAGAUUGACUUCAAUUUUUAAGUUAUCAGUAAUUGCCUUUCUGCUUCAAUCGCAAUUCGCGCAACUGUUACGGCUGUGUGGCCGGAGAAGCAUUAAAUAGACAUAAAAUGUGCUGCAUUUAGCAGCAAUCUAAGCUCGUUGAUAUUGAUAUUUUCGAUAGCUACCGUGCUUCGCGCCGGAGGGGGGACACCCCCUUCCCGAACCCUCCCCCCGUGCGUGCUUUGCACGCACCGAGGCCGCUGCGCGGCUUGCGUCGCUUCGCGCCGCUAAGCGUCAGAGUGAACCUGGCGAGAACGUUGCAUGUGCCAAAAAGGAAUAAUUGUUUUUCGUAGGAAAAACAGGUAAUUUAAUAUGUACAAAGUUUGCUAUUUGGAAGAAGGAUAAAUAGACAAAGUUUUUUCAUCUGAAUAUUUAGGUGAGAGUGGAGCAUUUGCAUUUGAGCAUGCAUGUAUAUCAUUUAUAUAAAUGGAGAUUAUAUUGUUUAAAUUGUCAUGUGAAAAUCAAUGAGAUAAUAUUCAUUCUGAAUUGAAGAUAUUUGAUUAAUAAAUCACAGUUUCAUGAUUUGAAUACAUA